RNAcentral lists this transfer RNA (70 nucleotides) under Schistosoma mansoni. Lineage: Eukaryota; Metazoa; Platyhelminthes; Trematoda; Strigeidida; Schistosomatidae. The record is from RNAcentral.
GGCGGUAGCUUAGCGGUUGGGGCAGUUCACUCCAAAGUAAUUAAUCACAGGUUCGAAACCAGUUUCAGCU